GGUGCGAGGAUACUGGCCAAUGGAAACCUUAUCACACUGGCUUGUAUUCUCGCUGCC
RNAcentral lists this non-coding RNA (57 nucleotides) under Spodoptera frugiperda (fall armyworm). Lineage: Eukaryota; Metazoa; Arthropoda; Insecta; Lepidoptera; Noctuidae. The record is from RNAcentral.